CAGUCGCCGCGGGAAUACAGAGGGUGCAAGCGUUAAUCGGAAUUACUGGGCGUAAAGCGCGCGUAGGUGGUUCGCCAAGUUGGAUGUGAAAUCCCCGGGCUCAACCUGGGAACUGCAUUUGUGACUGUAUAGCUAGAGUACGGCAGAGGGGGAUGGAAUUCCGCGUGUAGCAGUGAAAUGCGUAGAUAUGCGGAGGAACACCGAUGGCGAAGGCAAUCCCCUGGGCCUGUACUGACGCUCAUGCACGAAAGCGUGGGGAGCAAACAGGAUUAGAUACCCCUGUAGUCCCUGUCUCUUAUAC
RNAcentral lists this ribosomal RNA (301 nucleotides) under uncultured bacterium. RNAcentral describes it as "partial 16S ribosomal RNA". It matches the Rfam family "Bacterial small subunit ribosomal RNA", at positions 509 to 807 of the family's 1533-position model. The record is from RNAcentral.